This 511-nucleotide ribosomal RNA is filed under the name uncultured bacterium. RNAcentral's name for it is "bacterial SSU rRNA". It matches the Rfam family "Bacterial small subunit ribosomal RNA", at positions 38 to 524 of the family's 1533-position model. The record is from RNAcentral.
GGCGGCGUGCCUAAUCAUGCAAGUGGAACGCAGUCGAUUCACCGGAGCUUGCUCCACCGAAUGAACUGAGUCGCGAACGGGUGAGUAACGCGUAGGUAACCUACCUCAUAGCGGGGGAUAACUAUUGGAAACGAUAGCUAAUACCGCAUAACAGUGAUUGACACAUGUUAGUCAUUUGAAAGGAACAACUGUUUCACUAUGAGAUGGACCUGCGUUGUAUUAGCUAGUUGGUGAGGUAACGGCUCACCAAGGCAUCGAUACAUAGCCGACCUGAGAGGGUGAUCGGCCACACUGGGACUGAGACACGGCCCAGACUCCUACGGGAGGCAGCAGUAGGGAAUCUUCGGCAAUGGGGGGAACCCUGACCGAGCAACGCCGCGUGAGUGAAGAAGGUUUUCGGAUCGUAAAGCUCUGUUGUAAGAGAAGAACGAUGGUGUGAGUGGAAAGUACACCAAGUGACGGUAACUUACCAGAAAGGGACGGCUAACUACGUGCCAGCAGCCGCGGUAAU